Molecule: ribosomal RNA, 270 nt
Filed under: uncultured archaeon
Lineage: Archaea
Description: partial 16S ribosomal RNA
Rfam family: Archaeal small subunit ribosomal RNA
Source: RNAcentral
CAGCACCUCAAGUGGUCAGGAUGAUUAUUGGGCCUAAAGCAUCCGUAGCCGGCGCUGUAAGUUUUCGGUUAAAUCUGUACGCUCAACGUACAGGCUGCCGGGAAUACUGCAGCGCUAGGGAGUGGGAGAGGUAGACGGUACUCGGUAGGAAGGGGUAAAAUCCUUUGAUCUAUUGAUGACCACCUGUGGCGAAGGCGGUCUACCAGAACACGUCCGACGGUGAGGGAUGAAAGCUGGGGGAGCAAACCGGAUUAGAGACCCCAGUAGUCC